Molecule: ribosomal RNA, 1435 nt
Filed under: uncultured marine bacterium
Lineage: Bacteria
Description: bacterial SSU rRNA
Rfam family: Bacterial small subunit ribosomal RNA
Source: RNAcentral
GAGUUUGAUCAUGGCUCAGAACGUACGCUGGCGGCACGCCUAACACAUGCAAGUCGAACGAAGUAGCAAUACUUAGUGGCAGACGGGUGAGUAACAUGUAGGUAUCUGCCCUUUGGCCUGGAAUAACACGAGGAAACUUGUGCUAAUACCGGAUAAGUCUUUACGGAGAAAGCUUUAUGCACCAUUGGAUGAGCCUGCACUUGAUUAGUUUGUUGGUGGGGUAAUGGCCUACCAAGACUGUGAUCAAUAGCUGAUUUGAGAGGAUGAUCAGCCACAUUGGGACUGAGACACGGCCCAAACUCCUACGGGAGGCAGCAGUGGGGAAUCUUGCACAAUGGAGGAAACUCUGAUGCAGCGAUGCCGCGUGAGUGAAGAAGGCCCUUGGGUUGUAAAGCUCUUUCGUCGGGGAAGAAAAUGACUGUACCCGAAUAAGAAGGUCCGGCUAACUUCGUGCCAGCAGCCGCGGUAAUACGAAGGGACCUAGCGUAGUUCGGAAUUACUGGGCUUAAAGAGUUCGUAGGUGGUUGAAAAAGUUAGUGGUGAAAUCCCAGAGCUUAACUCUGGAACUGCCAUUAAAACUUUUCAGCUAGAGUAUGAUAGAGGAAAGCAGAAUUUCUAGUGUAGAGGUGAAAUUCGUAGAUAUUAGAAAGAAUACCAAUUGCGAAGGCAGCUUUCUGGAUCAUUACUGACACUGAGGAACGAAAGCAUGGGUAGCGAAGAGGAUUAGAUACCCUCGUAGUCCAUGCCGUAAACGAUGUGUGUUAGACGUUGGAAAUUUAUUUUCAGUGUCGCAGGGAAACCGAUAAACACACCGCCUGGGGAGUACGACCGCAAGGUUAAAACUCAAAUGAAUUGACGGGGACCCGCACAAGUAGUGGAGCAUGUGGUUUAAUUCGAAGAUACGCGCAGAACCUUACCAACACUUGACAUGUUCGUCGCGACUCUAAGGGAUUAGAGUUUUCGGUUCGGCCGGACGAAACACAGGUGCUGCAUGGCUGUCGUCAGCUCGUGUCGUGAGAUGUUGGGUUAAGUCCCGCAACGAGCGCAACCCUCACUUUUAGUUGCCAUCAUUAAGUUGGGCACUCUGAAAGAACUGCCAGUGAUAAGCUGGAGGAAGGUGGGGAUGACGUCAAGUCCUCAUGGCCCUUACGUGUUGGGCUACACACGUGCUACAAUGGUAUCUACAACAGGAAGCAAGACUGCGAAGUUAAGCAAAUCCCUAAAAGAUACCUCAGUUCGGAUUGCACUCUGCAACUCGAGUACAUGAAGCUGGAAUUACUAGUAAUCGUGGAUCAGCGUGCCACGGUGAAUGCGUUCCCGGGUCUUGUACACACCGCCCGUCACACCAUGGGAGUUGGUUCUACCUUAAGGCAAGGUUUCAAACCCUUGACCACGGUAUAGUCAGCGACUGGGGUGAAGUCGUAACAAGGUAACC